AUUCUCCUGAACGGUCACUCCCUGCAAUUCUACUCAGGGUAGAAGUAGAUGCUGGAGAGAGUGGCCUUCCCUCUGGCCUCUUCUGUGACUUAUCUGGUUCUGGGGUCAAUAAAUGUUUGGGUUCAAAGGGCUUUUCUCUUCCCAAAGUAAAUAGAAGGAAUGGAGAUGUGAAGAGUGCAAGUCACUAAAUGGGAAUAUAUUGUCAGCUUACUGUAAUUUACCCGUUUGCUGGUCACUUUUUACUCAUGUCAUCAUUCAUUGUACUUGUUAUUGCAGGUGUUAGGUGCAGCACUGAAGUAAACAGACAGGAAAACAGCCUACUAGUCACUUACAGUGAUGUGGGAGUUUUGCCAGCCCAAACAUGGAUCCCUAACAACAUGGUAGCUCUUUACAGCAGAGCUUUAUAAAGACAACAAAACGAGUAACUGACAGUGGUAAUGAUUGAACCGACACUGCAGAAUAAGAACUACAACAUUUUACACUAUCUGGUUGAUAUAUGACUACAAAUAGAUUCAUUUCCAAUCCCUCUUUACUCUCGUAAAAAUCUUAGCCAGGUGUGCAACAGAAUAUCCCCAUAAUUGAGUGAAUUCUUCCCAAAUUAUUCAAGUUCUCCUGGUCCCUACACGGGAGCCGGCUCCAGGGUGCUCCUUGAGAGGUAUCUCUUUGGUCCCACUGAAGGUAGCUUACUUUGGGGAGGAAAAUCUCCUAUACAUUGAUACUCUUGGGAAUUGGCGGCGAAUUCCUGCCCCUCAUUUCCAGCGCCUGGGGAAUGACUUCCUGCUCGCACCAGGCUCUGAUCUCGCUCCUACCCCCUCUCAUUCUGAACUGUCCAGGGGAGCACAUGGGAGGGAGUUUUAUUUCCUCCUGGAGCAGAAAUGGGGGCCAGGCUAAAACGAGAUUUCCCCCGUGGGCAGAAACACGGAUGCCCCACGACGGUGUGAAAUCCUAACUCUCUCCCUCCCUGCUCCACCCACACACACCCGCGGGACUCAUAGGUCACUGUUCAACCAUCUCGCCGGCCCGAGCAUCUGGGCCGUGACGUCAUCAACACCCGCCCACCGCGCGCCCGAGGUUGACAAGGUCACGGAGGGCAGACCUGUAAAAGCUGUUCAACUUGGUACCGUCCACGCUGAGCGCCUCUCCCUCGACGGCAGGGUCUCGUAGCAUCAGCUGAUGAUAACAGCUCGGGACCAGGAGCGUCAUCCAGAGAUUCACUCCCACGUCUAGCAGUUGAUGCUGGCUGAUACUGGGACUUCAGCUCAGGCUGUUGGCUGGAACACCUACAUGUGGCCUCUCCGUGAGCCAGCUUGGCUUCCUUGCACAAUGGCCGGCUUCCAAGAGCAAGUGUCCCAAGAGGACAAGGCAGAAGUCCAAGGCAUUUUCUGACCUACCUUUGGAGAUCAUAUGGCACCACUUUCCACUAUAUUGAGGCCAUCACAGAGGUUGACCAGGUUUGAGAGGUUAGCAGCAGUGAAGAAAUUGUGUUCAUUCCUCAUCUAUCAGCAGAACCAAAUACAGCGGCUUCCUUUCUGAAACUUGCAUUCAUUGUUACCACCAAGAAACUGUUGAGAAAUACUUCAAAAAAAAAAAGAAAAAGGAUAUGAAGUGACCCUCAAAACCUUUAUGUCUUCCCACCAUUUGUCCAUCAGCUGCCUGCUUUCAGUUCCCAUGUUUUGGAGUUUUCUUUGUGUCCUUAUUUUCUACAGUGCUAUAGAACAAGUAUUCCACCUUGAGGAGACAAGGAAGGCUGUGGAAUCAGAGGAACUCUGCAAUCAAGAAAUAUUUAAAGAAGAAAAAAAAAAAAGAUACUAUGAAGUCCUAAUGGCCAGCUCCUAGCUGCAAACCAAGAAAGCUCACUUGGUGAUUAUAAAUUUCAAUCACAGUAAUACCUAAAGAACUAAUUUUAGCCAGUUCCUUCACAGCAUAUGGAUCAUCCAUUGUCAGAGAAGUGAUACAAUUUCUGAAUUAAGUUUAGUCUCUUAAGGGGAAUUAAUAAGAAUAUUUAAGAAAUCAUUUAAGAUAUGAGCUAAGAAUUUAGACAGUAAUCUAAGCUUAAUCUCUAAGAAAAGGAGCUCUCUUUCACAAUUCAUGGGUUUCUCUGCAACUGAUAAGCAUGAAACAUAGUUUCAAGGGUAACUGAAUCUGAUCAAAAGUGAAGUUAAAUUUGAGCAUAAUAAAUUCAGGUAUCACGACGUGUAAUGGGGAAAAGACUGUCAUUGUAAAAUUAUCUAAAUUAUUGGGACUGAGGCAAAAGCAUACUAAAUUUGAUCCUCUGACAUAGAUUUCUUUUAAAUAAGUCUCUAAGCAAUCUUAUAAACAGCUUGGAGAUUGGUGUACUUUAUGAAAAAUAUUGAAAAUAGGAGACUUUUUUUUAUAUAUUUUUUUCUUUUUAAUAUUUUUUUUCUUUUAGCCGUGCUUCAGGGCAAUUCAGGAUCCUAGUUCCCUGACCAGGGAUCGAA
Molecule: long non-coding RNA, 2459 nt
Organism: Bubalus bubalis (water buffalo)
Lineage: Eukaryota; Metazoa; Chordata; Mammalia; Artiodactyla; Bovidae
Exons: 5
Source: RefSeq, a predicted model, not a curated record